Molecule: ribosomal RNA, 253 nt
Filed under: uncultured bacterium
Lineage: Bacteria
Description: partial 16S ribosomal RNA
Rfam family: Bacterial small subunit ribosomal RNA
Source: RNAcentral
GACGAACCGUGCGAACGUUGUUCGGAUUCACUGGGCUUAAAGGGCGCGUAGGCGGGCUCGCCAGUCUGUGGUGAAAGCCCCCGGCUUAACCGGGGAAGUGCCGUGGAUACCGCGAGUCUUGAGGAGGGUAGGGGCAUCUGGAACGCUGGGUGGAGCGGUGAAAUGCGUUGAUAUCCAGCGGAACUCCGGUGGCGAAGGCGAGGUGCUGGACCCUUUCUGACGCUGAGGCGCGAAAGCCAGGGGAGCAAACGGG